AGAACGAACGCUGGCGGCAUGCCUAACACAUGCAAGUCGAACGAGACCUUCGGGUCUAGUGGCGCACGGGUGCGUAACGCGUGGGAAUCUGCCCAAAGGUUCGGAAUAACUCAGGGAAACUUGAGCUAAUACCGGAUGAUGUCGCAAGACCAAAGAUUUAUCGCCUUUGGAUGAGCCCGCGUAGGAUUAGCUUGUUGGUGGGGUAAAGGCUCACCAAGGCUACGAUCCUUAGCUGGUCUGAGAGGAUGAUCAGCCACACUGGGACUGAGACACGGCCCAGACUCCUACGGGAGGCAGCAGUGGGGAAUAUUGGACAAUGGGCGAAAGCCUGAUCCAGCAAUGCCGCGUGAGUGAUGAAGGCCCUAGGGUUGUAAAGCUCUUUUACCCGGGAAGAUAAUGACUGUACCGGGAGAAUAAGCCCGGCUAACUCCGCGCCAGCAGCCGC
This 445-nucleotide ribosomal RNA is filed under the name uncultured bacterium. RNAcentral's name for it is "SSU rRNA". It matches the Rfam family "Bacterial small subunit ribosomal RNA", at positions 26 to 518 of the family's 1533-position model. The record is from RNAcentral.